This 440-nucleotide ribosomal RNA is filed under the name uncultured bacterium. Its description in RNAcentral is "partial 16S ribosomal RNA". It matches the Rfam family "Bacterial small subunit ribosomal RNA", at positions 338 to 795 of the family's 1533-position model. The record is from RNAcentral.
CCUACGGGUGGCAGCAGUGGGGGAUAUUGCACAAUGGGGGGAACCCUGAUGCAGCGACGCCGCGUGGGUGAAGAAGCGCCUCGGCGCGUAAAGCCCUGUCAGCAGGGAAGAAAAUGACGGUACCUGAAGAAGAAGCCCCGGCUAACCACGUGCCGGCAGCCGCGGUAAUAGGUAGGGGGCAAGCGUUAUCCGGCUUUACUGGGUGGAAAGGGGGCGGAGACGGCGAUGCAAGCCAGGAGUGAAAGCCAGGGGCGCAACCCCGGGACUGCUCUUGAAACUGCGUGGCUGGAGUGCAGGAGGGGCAGGCGGAAUUCCUGGUGUAGCGGUGAAAUGCGUAGAUAUCAGGAGGAACACCGGUGGCGAAGGCGGCCUGCUGGACUGCAACUGACGUUGAGGCCCGAAAGCGUGGGGAGCAAACAGGAUUAGAUACCCCGGUAGUC